GAUGAACGCUGGCGGUAUGCUUAACACAUGCAAAUCGAACGGACUCUUCGGAGUUAGUGGCGGACGGGUGAGUAACGCGUGAGAAUCUGGCUUUGGGUUCGGGACAACCACUGGAAACGGUGGCUAAUACCGGAUGUGCCGAGAGGUAAAAGAGAAAUUGCCUGAAGAUGAGCUCGCGUCUGAUUAGCUAGUUGGUGAGGUAAAGGCUCACCAAGGCAGCGAUCAGUAGCUGGUCUGAGAGGAUGACCAGCCACACUGGGACUGAGACACGGCCCAGACUCCUACGGGAGGCAGCAGUGGGGAAUUUUCCGCAAUGGGCGAAAGCCUGACGGAGCAAUACCGCGUGAGGGAAGAAGGCUCUUGGGUUGUAAACCUCUUUUCUUAGGGAAGAACAAAAGGACGGUACCUAAGGAAUCAGCAUCGGCGAACUCCGU
RNAcentral lists this ribosomal RNA (434 nucleotides) under uncultured bacterium. Its description in RNAcentral is "partial 16S ribosomal RNA". It matches the Rfam family "Bacterial small subunit ribosomal RNA", at positions 28 to 506 of the family's 1533-position model. The record is from RNAcentral.